Molecule: long non-coding RNA, 2405 nt
Organism: Prionailurus viverrinus (fishing cat)
Lineage: Eukaryota; Metazoa; Chordata; Mammalia; Carnivora; Felidae
Exons: 3
Source: RefSeq, a predicted model, not a curated record
ACCUGAAAAUAGAACUACCCUAUAAUCCAGCAACUACGCCAUCAGGUAUUUGCCUAACGGAUACAAAAAUACAGAGUUGCACCCCGGUGUUUACAGCAGCGUGAACAAAAGCCAAACUACGCACCGGGCCACCAUGUCCAUCAACUGAUGAAGGGAUAAAGAAGAUGCGGGAUGUAUACAUACACAGACUAUACAGGGGAAUAUCACUCGGCCAUUGAAAAGAAUGAAAUCUUGCCCUCUGCAAUGACGGAGCUAGAGUAUACGAUGUGAAGCAAAGUGACAUGGUAUCUAGAAUUUAAAGUACUCCAGCACAACCCCAAGCAGUCAGUGAGGAGGAACGGGCAAGACAAGAGUGACAGCAUCGACUCUUCUCCCUGCCCAGCAUGCCAUUCUGUGACCUUCUGGAACACAGAGACCACGUCUGUCACACUUGGAUCCCUGGAAUCUAGACACCAGAAAACAAGCUAAGAUGGUCAUCAAGAUGAUGGGAGAAUACAGAUUCCUUUGCCAAAGACACCCUGCCACGUUUCUUUAUCCCAUCAUCUCCUUCAAUCCUUGCCAUCAUGCGUGAAAAUGCUCUAGAUUAUCACCCUUUUAUAGACUUUUAAAAAUUGAGGCUCACAGAGGUAAAGUGACUUUACCCAAGGUCACAUGGCUAGUGCACUAAGCCGGUGCUUAGUACAAAGAUUUGAGCCAAGGUCUGACUCAAAAGCCAUUCUGCUCAGCACCUUGGGGGCAAGUGAAUAUACCACUGACCCCGGAAACAACCUCACCGUUGUAUGUAACAAAAGUGACCUUUUCCAACGCAGGAGGCCUACACGCAAGGCACUGAGCACAGACCACAAUCUGCCCUCCGAAAUAUCAACUCUUCCCUUCCACAGUCUGUCUGGGGUGACGAGGUACCCUACUAAAAACAAGUAUUUUUCACCAUCCCUAACAGAAAUAGUUCAGGCCACUUAAAUAUAAGAAACUUUUCUGAGUGGUGGGUGACCUCCUUAAAACAAGUCAGAACGGUUUUGUUUUUUUCCCCCUUCCCCUGCUUCAUCCUUCCUGCUGCACAGAAUGCAGAUAUAACGGCUAGGGAUCCAGCAGCCUUCUUAGACCAUGACAGGACCUUAGAAAGGUAAGCCAAACUCAGCAAAGCAAUAUAAAGGAAACUGAUACCCACUUGCUCUUUCAAGAAAUUUCUGGGCUCUAUCACGUGCCAGGCUUUGUGCAGGCCCCUAAGAAAGAUCAGUCAACAAAGGAGACCGAGGUCCCUGCCCUCACGAGGCUUGCAACUUAAGGGGAAGAAAGGAGCCAGAGUGCACAUCGUAACAGAGCUAGGGGGAAUAAAAACCAAGUAAGGGGGACUGAGAAGACAAGGAAGGAGAGGGAUCCCACUGGGAAAUUUGACAGACAAAUGUUUUUAGUCCAUGAAGAGAAAAACACGAUCCAAAAAGACGCCCUUAACUUAGCGCUUGGUGAAGCCCCCUGGGUUCACCGUCGAGUGGAGAAGAGGUGUAGAGGCCACGUGUGGUUUCAGCCCCACGAGGCAGCAGCAACAAGGCGCAACCGGACUGAAAGGCCAACCUCUUUCCACUCUAGGUAAUCAUUUACAACGUGUCUUUUCAGCAUGGUUCUCGAUGGAGUUUUAUUAAAGCUCAGGAGGUGGUGUUCCGGGACCCCCGCCCUCCAACUGCGCGGCCCUGCUCUCCGUGAGGCUGCAUUUGGAGCACUGGAGACAGACCAUGUUUGAAGAAACAGUUCUCCCGCUUGAAAGGUUUCUGCGAGGGUCGUUGGGCCACAGGAGGCGUGUGGCGGGAGGGGAGCGUCUCACGCGUCUGUACAUUGUGUCUGGGACCCAGCACGAACUCAGUUGACUGAGCAAAUAAGCUCCGCCACCUUCCACAAGCCCUCGACUUGACGGUUGUCGCUCUUUAAACCGCAUUCCUGCCGCUGCCAAGAAUAUCUCCCCUCUGCUGAGCUUCCUGUUGUUCCCCUCCCCGGCUCCAAAAUAACAAGGCGCUGCUUGGCAGUGAUGUCACUGUCACUGUCACCGCCUGCAGGGCAUCCACAUGCCAGCUAUAUUUAAGACCCAGGCUUCACGCGCGGGGACAUGGAAAUUGCCACCUCGUGAACCAUACCGGAAAGGCAAGGCUUGAAAAUUUCUCUACGGAUAACCAGGUUACAAACUCUGCCUCUCCCCAGGCAAACAGGCCAGGGUGUUCAACUGAGCACCGGGGUCCAGCUUCUGGGGUCAGCCAGGUCCGACUGGGGCCUUUCAACCACUUCCCUCGAGUAGCACAGACGCUGACACUCGCUCGGGGGAGCCACUCUCUCUUCCAAUUGUUCUCCCUUCCCCGGCUCUGCUUCGGUUUCCCCUCAAAACCCUUCUGUUAUUUUUAUUGACUCCUCCAGACUUC